This 253-nucleotide ribosomal RNA is filed under the name uncultured bacterium. Its description in RNAcentral is "partial 16S ribosomal RNA". It matches the Rfam family "Bacterial small subunit ribosomal RNA", at positions 524 to 776 of the family's 1533-position model. The record is from RNAcentral.
UACGUAGGGUGCGAGCGUUAAUCGGAAUUACUGGGCGUAAAGCGUGCGCAGGCGGAGCGUUAAGACAGGUGUGAAAGCCCCGAGCUUAACUUGGGAAUUGCGCUUGUGACUGGCGAGCUGGAGUGUGGCAGAGGGAGGUGGAAUUCCACGUGUAGCAGUGAAAUGCGUAGAGAUGUGGAGGAACACCGAUGGCGAAGGCAGCCUCCUGGGCCAGCACUGACGCUCAUGCACGAAAGCGUGGGGAGCAAACAGG